Bos mutus (wild yak) is the source of this 378-nucleotide long non-coding RNA. The record is from Ensembl. NCBI's taxonomy places the organism in Eukaryota, Metazoa, Chordata, Mammalia, Artiodactyla, Bovidae.
GCUGUGGUUUACAAAUACGUUUAAUCAGAAACCAGUCAGGCUGAAGAUAAGCUAACUGCUGUAAUUCUGUCUUAAAGGUUACUGGCCCUUUUCUUACUGAUCUCUUUGAACCACAAAUGGUUUCCUAAAGCUAAGCAAUGCAAACAGACGUGCUUCAGGAAGAAUGGCCUGAGAACUGUGAGCAGAAAGAACAUGAAGAAGGAUCAGCUCCCGGCAGUGCCAAUGGUGACCUGUUACGCCCAGGAUGCAGAGACCUGCUCCCAUCCGGACAAGAAGAAAGAGCCAGGUAAACUACAGAGUCACAAAUUUUCCUGGAUUUCCAAGGAGUUGAGGUUGUAAGACAACUGAAUAAACUAUAACCCAAAGGAAGAGAGGCCA